RNAcentral lists this ribosomal RNA (497 nucleotides) under uncultured bacterium. RNAcentral describes it as "partial 16S ribosomal RNA". It matches the Rfam family "Bacterial small subunit ribosomal RNA", at positions 28 to 507 of the family's 1533-position model. The record is from RNAcentral.
GGUGAACGCUGGCGGCGUGCCUAAUACAUGCAAGUCGAGCGAACGGACGAGAAGCUUGCUUCUCUGAUGUUAGCGGCGGACGGGUGAGUAACACGUGGAUAACCUACCUAUAAGACUGGGAUAACUUCGGGAAACCGGAGCUAAUACCGGAUAAUAUUUUGAACCGCAUGGUUCAAAAGUGAAAGACGGUCUUGCUGUCACUUAUAGAUGGAUCCGCGCUGCAUUAGCUAGUUGGUAAGGUAACGGCUUACCAAGGCAACGAUGCAUAGCCGACCUGAGAGGGUGAUCGGCCACACUGGAACUGAGACACGGUCCAGACUCCUACGGGAGGCCGCAGUAGGGAAUCUUCCGCAAUGGGCGAAAGCCUGACGGAGCAACGCCGCGUGAGUGAUGAAGGUCUUCGGAUCGUAAAACUCUGUUAUUAGGGAAGAACAUAUGUGUAAGUAACUGUGCACAUCUUGACGGUACCUAAUCAGAAAGCCACGGCUAACUACGUG